GACGGAGGGGGCUAGCGUUGUUCGGAAUGACUGGGCGUAAAGGGCGCGUAGGCGGUUAAUUAAGUUAGACGUGAAAGCCUCGGGCUUAACCUGAGAAUGGCGUUUGAUACUGGUUGACUUGAGGACGAGAGAGGAAAGUGGAAUUCCGAGUGUAGAGGUGAAAUUCGUAGAUAUUCGGAGGAACAUCAGAAGCGAAGGCGGCUUUCUGGCUCGUCCCUGACGCUGAGGCGCGAAAGCGUGGGGAG
Molecule: ribosomal RNA, 245 nt
Filed under: uncultured Alphaproteobacteria bacterium
Lineage: Bacteria; Pseudomonadati; Pseudomonadota; Alphaproteobacteria
Description: partial 16S ribosomal RNA
Rfam family: Bacterial small subunit ribosomal RNA
Source: RNAcentral